Molecule: long non-coding RNA, 11665 nt
Filed under: Gossypium barbadense (sea-island cotton)
Lineage: Eukaryota; Viridiplantae; Streptophyta; Magnoliopsida; Malvales; Malvaceae
Description: long non-coding RNA (GBAR_LNC013326)
Source: RNAcentral
UAUAUUCUUUGGUACUUAUUAUGGGUCCCUAGAUAUCAAUUACAUGAAUGACGCUGCUACAGACUCAGAUCUUCCUUUUGAGCGAGGCAUGUGUUCAGAAGGAUAUCAUGACUUUGAAAAUGAUAUAGAUCGUAGCUUAUCUCUGUACUUGUUGAUGAUGGUUGAACAAGAGGAUGGACGAUCCUACCUCACAAGGAAUCAUUAGAAAUUGUAAGCUUGGUGAAUAUUAGAAUUGACCUGAUUGCAAAGACGAAGCAAGACCUUGUCCAGUUACCUCUAGAGUUCAAAGAUGUCUUUGUGUGGUCAUACCAGGAUGUACCCGGGUUAAUCACUGAUAAUGAAACCUGCACAACAGCACGAUUUUUGCAGCAAGAACGAUGCAAUUCUUUACCGGGGCAAUGCCUUUCUCGUUGAGUCAGCAUAGCUUUGCCCAUUUGAAGUCAAGUUUCCAUCCUUUCAAGAUGUUUUCUGUCGUAGUUGCGCCCCACAAGACUCUAUGAAAGAAAUGAAGGUUUUUCGCAUACAAGAUGAAAGUGAGAAAUCUUAUUUAUAAAAACAUUGAUUCUGAUCGAAAGGAUUCAGAUUCAAUCAAAAAAAUUUUAAAAAAAUCAAAAUCAAAAAGAAAAAAGAAAAAAGAAAAAAUCAAAGUCAAAGUCAAAGUCAAAAGCAAAAAAGAGAAAUCAAUUAAAGUCAAAAUAAAGAUAUGAAAAGGAGAAAAAGAAAAGAAAAGGAGGGGCCAAGGCGAAAACCCGCAAAGGGUGCUUUAUGACCAAAUGUGGUUUUGAGUUGAAAACCCGAAAAGGGCGACUCAAAUUUUAGGCAAAUGGGGCAUGACCGUCAUCAUCAUCGAAGGUUUCUAACGGGCAUUGCUUUAUGUUUGAGAUCAUUAGUUACUUUGUCAAACGGGUAGAGGCUGCUUCAUGCGUCAAUAUCAUCAUAUGCCGGUAUGGAAUUACGGGGAAGACGAUAUCAUGAUUGUUAGUAUGAUAGCUGAGGUCUGUGAUCAAUUCAAAAUCACCAUAGUUCAUCACUGCAAUGAAUUGCAAAAAUGACUGAGACUUGCAACGACUAGCAUGAGAAAUUACCAUUUGCUCUUCUUACUUGUCGAACAUCUGUACUAGGGCAACAUCAUUCUCUUUGGUUGGAGGGAUGGAGGUAAUUUUACCCAUUACAGAAAAUCUUUUCUCUCCAGGUAUUAGUUGAGCUAAGAGUUGGAUGAGGCAGAAUGAAUCCAAUCUGAUCAGAAGGAAAAGGCUAAAAGAUAUGCAGCACAGUCAAAUGUAUCAAAGGCAAAUGACGCAAGCCUACAACCAAAAGGUUCGUCUCAAAGAAUUCUAUAAGGGAAACCUAAUGUUGAGAAAGAUCCUUCUUACACAAAAGGAUUUUAGAGGAAAAUGGAUGCCAAACGUCUUUUUUGGAGAAACUCUGAUCUUGAGUAGGAUAGAUGGUAAAACUAACCAAAUCCUGUAAACUCAGAUUCAGUCAAGAAUUACCUCACCUGAAGGAGAAAGGACCAAGGUGAAAACCUGCAAAGGGUGUCUUGAUUCCAAAAAAAAAGGUGAAAAAUGAAAAAAUGAAAAUGAAAAAGUAAAAAUGGAAAGGCUAAGGGGAAAACUCACAAAGGGCACCUUAGGCCAAAGAGAAAUUGAGUUGAAAACCCGAAAGGGCGGCUCAAAUAUUGAUUAAAAUGAGGCAUGAGGCGAUCAGAGCAACUCGUAUCUUGAUCAGAUUGGGGCAUGUGGUAAUCUUGUUAUACCUGAAUCAACAGGAAAGGGUAGGCGACAUCUUGGGGCAUCGACAAAGCACUGUAGAUCUCCUAAACACAUGUCAAAUUCAGAAUGGUCUUCAGAAAGUUUGUACAGAGAAGUUCAAGCUGCGAUAUCCGAAGCAUCCAAUUCUCAUAUUAUCUAUAUUAAAUUUGUUGUUCUUGAAAUACCUUUUUCUUUUCCAACAUGUACAUUCCCAAUCAAUUAUCCUUCUUUACUAUUUUUCAUAAUUUAUUCAUUUUGAGCUAUGCUUAGAACCAACUUUAUUCUUAUCCAUUGUUAUGACCCUUUUUGCUAGCAUGUUUCAUUGAAAUAAUGAUCAAUGGACUAAUAAAAUUUCACAAAGGAAGUUUUACAUAUUACUCUGAAAAGUUUCUAAAUAAUAUAGAAGCCUGAAACAGGACUAUUGUUUAGAACACACCAAAUUUAAAGGUUGAAAAUUUGAAAAGGAAGAGUCUAAAUUUAGACUUUCUCUUUGGAUUUUGUUGUCAAUAUGCCAUAAACAAGCAAGCAAUGAUCACCAAGCAAUAGGAAGAGGUUACCUCGGAAAAAAGAGCCUUCAUUUGCGCAUAAGUCUUUGGUACGACACCCUGCGAAUGGUGUAAGGGACCAAGUAGACUUAGAUCUUGUAUCCCUGAAUUAUGAUAGAAAGAUUGAAGAAAAGCCACAUAUUUCUACACUUGAAUUACAGUAGGAGAAUGAUGGUAUAAAUUAUGGGCCCUAAUGGAUUAAACUUUGAAGUUUACAGUGAGGGGCAAUCUGACUAAGUGAUUCUUUGAAGAAAUCGGUCAAACGAGAAGACGUUGUAGCACGUCAGUAUCAAAGCCUUGAUAAACUUCGAGUAAUGACAACCUAAGCGGGAUCAUUCUCGAAAAAAUAAAAUUCUGCAUUCAUGCAAACACCAUUCACACAUGUCUAGUUAGGAGUAUUUGAUUCAUUCUGAUCAUGACAUCCUAAUCAUUAGGCAUAAUUAAGUUCAUAAACAAAUUAUACAGGUCAUGCUCCCUAGAGAAUAGAUCAAUGAAAUCACAAGUCAUAUGUCCCUGACCAGCAGUGGAAUAGGUCAGAAAUUGUAGAUCUUAUCUCCCUAAGCAAUAGUGGAGCAGAUCGAAGACGGCGAAUCUUAUCUUCCCCAGGAGUAGGGAAACAGAUUUAAGCCACAAGUCCUAUGUCCCUGACCAGCAGUGGAAUAGGUUGGAAAUUGCAGAUCUUGUCUCCCUAAGCAGUAGCGGAGCAGAUCGAAGAUGGCGAAUCUUAUCUUCCCCAGGAGUAGGGAAACAGAUUUAAGCCAUAAGCCCUAUGUCCCUGACCAGCAGUGGAAUAGGUUGAAAAUUGCAGAUCUUAUCGAAGACGACGAAUCUUAUCUUCAAGUGUAAGGAUGCAGAUUAAAGCCGAUAAUCCUAUCUCCUUGAAGUUGUAGUGGAGCGGAUUAAAGUAAUAGAUCUUAUCUCUCUGAAGUUGCAGUAGAGUGGAUCACAUCAAGUCUUAUCUCCCUGAGGUUGCAGUGGAGCAGACUGAGUAAGCAAGUCUUAUCUCCCUGAGGUUGCAGUGGAGCAGAUUGAAGUCGAUAAUAUUAUCCCCCCGACAUUGCAGUUAAACAGAUUAAAGUUACAGAUCCUAUCUCUCCGACGUUGCGGUGGAGUGGAUCGAAACAUUAGUUCCUAUACCUCUGAAGAUGCAGUAAGAUGGAAUGAGGUUUCUUGAAGAAAAAGAACUACCAAUGUCUAGCACGACCAGGCAAAAUUGGCCCUUUUUAGUCUUUGCUCCAUUCCCGUUACACGAUAAUGAGCAAAGAGGGGCAGCUGUAAGAGCCCAUUUUUGCCCGGCCCGAUUAAUUUACCCAAUCCCAAAACACAUCAAACCACCUAACCCAACUAACUAAACCCAAACCCGUUACAAACCGAAGCCCAAAAGCAAAGAAAAAAACCUAAAACCCUAAACAAUUUAUGAAGCAAGCCGAGCGCCGCAACGGUAACCUCCAGUGCCGUUCUCCCACGCCACGCACGCCCCCGUGCAGCUGGCCCUCGUACGUGCUACGUCUCUGACACCGUACGUCGUACAUGCACACAAACAACAAACAAAAACCACGCAGCACAGAAUAACAGCAAAAGAGGACAAAUAUUAAGAAAAAUGUAGUUUUUUUAUAUUUUCUUUUAUCAUUUUCGGCUAUAAAGGUCGAUUUAGGAGAUUGUAAAAAAACAAAAAAAACACACUGUAUCAGAAACAGAGAAUAUCAAUAAAAAGAAAAAAUUGAAAGAAAAAUGUGAUUGCAGUGUUCUUUCUCUGGUUUUUUUUUUGCUUCUUUAUUCAUCUAUUUCGUGCUCAAAAAGGAAAAAGAAGGGAGAAGAGUGAGGAACGUACCUGGUGACCGGCCUCGUGCUCGCUCCGUCGCAAUCGGAGUCGUGCAUGGGAUUCGGAAAGCCCCUGUUCUGAGGCGAUAAACAUCGCAUGAGAAAAAGGAGGAGUGCUUAGGUUUUGGUUUCAAAAGAGCAGAUCGGGUUUAGUUUAGGGUUUUUUUAUUUUUAUCUUAAUCAUGGAAACGGCGUCGUUUUCACUGAUUGGAUUUGAGCAUCCGAACAUGUGUUUAAUUUCUGUUUUAGUCCUCUUUGUUAUUUUAUUAUGAUUCUUACCCUCUUUUUCAUUUUUGCUCCGCUUUAGUCCCAAAUCUGUUAGAUUUCACUUUAUUUUUGCAAUGUAUUUAUUUAUUUUAAACUUUAUAUUAUUUAUUUUAAAUCGUUCUAUUAUUAUUUAUUUUAAGUUUUUUAUAUAUUAUGUAUUUUAAAUUAUGUUAAUCAAUUAUUCAUUUUAAAUAUAUAUUAUUUAUGUUAAACUACAUAUUUAUAUUAUUUAUUUGGAAUUGUUUUUAUGCACAUCAUGCAUUAUCGUUUUAAAAAAAAAAUUGUUUGCAUAUUAUUCAUUUAAGAUUCCUUCUGACAUAUUAUUUAUUUUAAACAUUUUACAUAUUACUUUAAAUUGUUUUCUAUGUUAUUUAUUUUUUAAAUUGCUUUGAGGAUUAUUCAUUUUAACUUGUUUUACACAUUAUUUUAAUAUGUAUGGAAUUAUUUUAAUAUAUAUAUACGUGUAUAAAAUGUAUUGUAACUGGUAAUUUCUAAAAUUUUAUUCUACGUUUUAAAAUUUUUAUCAUUUCGAUUAUGUUGAUUGGUUUACUUGGGAUUAAAUUAUUAUUGCAUCAAUUAUUCUCUUUUUGUUAUUUCUAAGAUCGAUUAUUAGUUUAUUUGAUUAUUAAUGUCGAUGUAUUAUAUAUGUGGUUGCUCCAAUUUGUAGAAGUAAUUUGCUAUUCAUCAUUCGCUCCGUAUAUUGUUAUAUUAUUUGUAAGAAUUGCAUUCCAUUAAAACAUUAUAAUCGUUUUAUUUCAAAACUCCUAAAAAAGGAUUGGUGUUUAAUAGUUCUCGAGAGAAUUGUGCCCUAACUUACUGGGCUUCAACUCUCUUCGAUGGAUUUAUAUCAUCAAGUUUCCAUUUUAUUUAAACCACACCAUUAUCAACAUAAAUUUUUUCAGGAUUUCAAAAUGUUGGACCCUAACUCACUGGAUCCAAUAAUUUUGCUAUUCAGAAUUAAGGAUUUUCUUUAUAAAGGCAAUAUUCGAUGUUUAGGAAUUUCGAGAAAUUAAACCCUAAUUUACUAGGUCUUAAUUUUUCGUUGGACUUAAAUAAUCAGAUAUCCUGCUCAAAAUGCAUAGGUUUUAAAAGUUAUGAGAUAAACUUAAUUUUGAUGAUUGAAGUGUUACGCUCUAACUCACUGAGUAUGGCAAUUCAUGAGUACAUUUUACCUAAAUUUUCUUUUCAAAGGAUCGUAUUUUAAAUUUUUUUUUUAAAGUUUCAACACUAAGACAUUAAAAAAUCGAUUCGAUACCAAUUUUGGGCGUUACGAGGGUGUUAACCCUUCCUCGUGCGUAACCGACUCCUGGACCUAUUUUCUCAAAUCUCGCAGACUUAAAAUUUAUUUUAAUGAUGAACCGAUCACACCUUAAUAAAAUAUCGGUGGCGACUCCAUUUCCAUUUUCAAAAUCGAUACCCAUUUUUCAAAUUUCAAAAAAGUGGUUCGACAAUGACAACAUUAGGAAGUAUAUUAUGACAUAUUAAUUCAAGAAAUGAUUAAAUCGCAAAAGUGAGACAAAUUUUAUUAUCCAAGAGUAAAUACUCAAAAUUUAAGGGGUUAAAGUGUAAAUAUUAAAAAAUUGAAGGACCAAAGGUGUAAAUAUUUUAAGGGUGGAAUGACCUAGAAACUAAGGAAAAUGGAUAGAUUAGGACCAAAUUGAAAAAGGUGAAUAAUUUUGAGGGACUAAAUCAUAAUUUUACCAAAUUAAGUGAUGACUCAAGGAUGGAAUUUUAAAAUAUUAUAAAGAGAAAAAUGGUCAAUUAAAGAGAGAGAACUCUAGAAGGUAAUGAUGAUGUUGGUGAUAUUUUUAUUAAUUAAUUAGAUAAAUGUUAUUUAUUUAAUAUUUUAUUAAGAUUUUUAGUAUUAUUUUAUUAUUAAAUGAUUAAUAUAAAAGGGAGGAAAGAUGAAAAAAAUUCAUCAUCUUUUCCAUGCAACCAACGUGAGAAGAGAGAAAGAAAGAAAGCUUUGCUUUCUUUACAAUUUGGUCCUCUCACCAAAAAUUCACCAUUUUCACUUAAAAUUUAAAGAAAUUUCCAUAGCCACCAAAAGAGAAAUUUGAUAAGGAGACUAUGGGGAGCUAGAAUAUCAAGUUAGAUUCAAGAAAUAAAGGCUCGAGGAGAGAUAAAAUCAAGUUAAAGAUUGAAAUCAAUAGCACAAGGUAAGAACAUCAAGAUUUCAAUAUAUUUUUGAGUUUGAUAUUAUUGAAAAAGUAUGAAAUUGAUGUUAAUGUAGGGUUUUAUUAUAUAAGGUUCUAUGUUCUUGAUAUGUUAGUGAAGAAAAAUAAGAGAAAAUGAUGGGAAAUACUAUAGAGAAAGAGAAUAAGGGUGUUAUAAAUUUAGUAAUCAACAUUUUGCACUAAAACAGUUUUUGACAGCAACAGUAGGUUAACUUUGAAAAAUUACCAUAAAUCGUGGAAAUUGAAUUAUAGGAUGAAAAAUAUAUGAAAUUAAAACUUAUUAAGUCUAGUUUCUCAUAGAAGAAACGGUGUAAUCAAUGGUAUUAUAAAUUAUGAGAUAUAAUUUUUGUGAGACAAUAUCAGAAUGAAUUCGGGUUUCCCUGUUCUGACUUUGGAAAAUCAUUAAAAAUUGUACAAAAAUGAUUAUGAGUUAUAAUUCAUAUGUUUAGAAUCCUUAAUAAGUCUAUUUUUAAAAAGAAUAAACGAGAACAUUAUCCGAAUCCUAUACAAUGAGAUAAUUAAUUUUUAGUGAAGAAGAGUUGAAACUGUCAAACAGCAGAACAGGGAUGACUUUAAAGAAUAAACUGUACUUAUUGGAUAAACCAAAAAUUAUGAAAAUUUUAUGGUAAGAAUAUAUGAGCCUAGUUUCAGAUAAAAUUUACGAAUUUCAAUUCGAAGUCCUGUAGCUUAAGAUAUAAUUAAUUUAGUGACUAUGACUCAAGUGAACAAAUUGUUAUGAGUAAACAAGUAAAUAGUGGCAAUAUAUAUAUCAAGGAUGUGAAAUAGAGUGGAUGAGGAGGAAAAAUAAUAUAUGUGAAUAUUCAACUAAUAUGAGUUUAAUUUAAGAUAGCUAAUUUACAUGUUUUAGGUUCAGAGACUAAAUUGAAUAAAAGUAAAAUUUUAAGGGUAAUUUUGUAAAAAUAUAAAAAAAACCAAAUUGCAUGAAAUGAAUUGUUUUAUCAUUUAAAUUAAUAAAUUAAAUGAAAUAUUAAUUUAGAUCAAGAUUUGGGUGGAAAUUCGAGAAAAAUAGAAAAUUACCAAAAUGUCCCUAAAUUUUGAUAUUUCUACAAUUUAGCCCGGUAAGUUCGUGUAACUUGAAUUAUAUUGUUAAAUGCUUAAAAUGUUUGUUAUUGAUGUGAAUAUGAUUUGAAUGUUCAUUAUAUGAAAAUUGAUGAAACAUUGAUAUAUUUGAUAAAAAGGGGAAGAAAUCUCGGUUGAAUGGAAGAAAAUUCGAUGGAUCUCUAAAAAGAAAUUGAUAGUAAAAAGGAUCUAUCCCAGAUGGGUGAUCCUAUCUUGAUAUAGCCCUCCCGAAGAAUAUGUGUGAAAAAGAUCUAGCACGGAUGGGUGAUCUUGAUAUAGCCCUCCCGAAAAAUAUGUGAAAAAUAGAUUUAGCCCGGACGGGUAAUCCAAAUUAGGGUCUAAAUUUAGCUUGGAUUGGUAAUUCAAAUCCAAGCUCAUUAGAGUAAUUGUCAUUACAGGGGAUUUAGCCUGAACUGAUAAUCCAGACAAUACUCUAUGAGUUUAUAUUAAAGGAGAUUUAGCCUAAACUGGUAAUCCCACUGUAAGAAAUGACGUUCGCGGGAGUGUACUCUCUUGGAAAAUGUGCGCACAUGAAUAUGAAUUGACGGACCCGAAUUAGUACACUAAAGUGUCCCCCUGAAAAUCCAUCAAAAUUUCGAAAAAUUCAACGGGAUAAAAAUAGAAAAAUGAUAAGUACUUAAAAUCAUGAAAUUAAACUUGAAAUACAUAGAAAUGAUAAUUAUUUGAUAUACUAAAAUAUGACAUGGAAAAUACAUGUAUGUGAAACUUGUCUGAUAAUUAUGCAUAUUCAAGAUUAUGAACUGCUACUGGAAUAAAUAUACAUUGAAAUCUAAAAAAAAUUAUGGUACAUGAAAUAUUGUCAUAAUGAAUUGAAUAAUUUAUAUUUAAAAAGAAACAACAAGAAAAUGAUAUGUAUAAUGACAUGUAAAUAUGAGACUAUCUUUGAUACGUUGAUACUAAGAAAAAUUAUGUGUAUUAAGACGAGUAAUAAAUUUAAGUGAGACAUGGCGAGAAAAUAAGUUUGUCAAUAUUAAAGUACGCUAACCAAUGUUGUUGCUUGAAUUUUAGGCAAGUGCCAAAUUACUAUUGAAUGAUAAUAUGUUUAAUUAUAAGGUGCUUUGGAAUGGUAAGUGCUUAGAUAAAAAUAUAAUUGAGCUUAUGAAAGAGUGGAAAGGUUUCAGUUAUGCAAUUUCUUAUGAAAAAAUUUGUUAUAUGAUACGCCCCGUAUGAACCCUGCACCUAAUUUGAAAAUAAAAAAAAAAUUAAAAUCUAUAUAUAUAUUUAGGAUUUUGCGAAAAAUUUCCUAUGAUUCCGAUUUAAUCUCAGUAGGUUCCUAAUAAAUGUUUUGGGCUUCGAGAGCCCAAUAGAGGGACGUUAUGAUUAUUUUCAGAAUAUGAAUAAUAAAUGGUUCAAAAUUAUUGAAAAUGUUUAGUAAACUCCGGUAAUGCUUCGUGCCCUAUUUCGACAACGGAUAUGGGUAGGGGGUGUUACACUUCUUCCCAUUUCGGUAAAAGCAUUUCCACCAAGAUUGCAAUCAUCGGAUGCAACAAAGUCGGGUGAAAACAAUUGCAAACCAUGAUUGUGCGUAUUAAAUGCAUCCCGCAACAUACCUUCCAUGUCAUCUUUUCUAACAGACUGAUGGUAAUCACUAUGAGGAUAAGCCAGAUUAAUCGUCGAAGAGAUUCUACUGGUGUGCACUCUCCAUGGAAAAUCCAUUUUUUAUACCCCCGAAUAAACCCAUCAACAAUUAGAUGUUCGUAGACAACUUUACGAAAAUGCCAAUUGAUGUUGCCACACUUUUUACACAGGCAAAGAAUCAUAUUCUCUUGGCUUGCAUUUUGAAAUGCAAAAUUUAGAAAAGUUUGUAGUCCAUUUCGUAGUUCUUGAAGUCUAAAGUUGACAAUAAAUUACACGGGUAAGUUGUUUAUUUAUAAGUAUAAUUAAGUUAUGUAAGUUAUGAUAUGAUAUAUAUUUAUGUAUUAUGUAAGUUAUGAUAUGAUAUAUAUAAGUUAUGUAAGUUAUGAUAUGAUAUAUAUAAGUUAUGUAAGUUAUGAUAUGAUAUAUAUAACUUAUGUAAGUUAUGAUAUGAUAUAUAUAUAUAAGUUAUUAUGUAUGUAUGUGAGUUAUGUAAAUUAUGAUAUGAUAUAUAUAAGUUAUUAAGUUAAGAUCCCAAGUUUUUUUUCAAUUCUUUAAAGUUAAGUAAAUUAUGUAAGUUAUGUAAGUUUUGAUAUGAUAUAUAUUUAUGUAAGUUAUGUAAAUUAUGCAAGUUAUGUAAGUUAUGAUAUAUAUUUUAUAAGUUUUAAAAACAUUUAAAAAUAUUAAAUAUUAAAAUCAAACAUUUUUAAUAUCAAAAAAAUAGUAAUUUGAUUUUUAUAUUAAAAUAAAUUUAAAUAAUGAUCAAAAUUAUCAUAUUGAUAAAAAAUAUUUAUAAGUUUUAAAAAAAUUUAAAAAUAUUAAAUAUUAAAAUCAAAUAUUAAGUUUUGAUAUGAUAUAUAUUUAUGUAAGUUAUGUAAAUUAUAUAAUAUUUUAAAAUAGAAACUUUAAAAUAUUAUUUUAAGCGGAUAUUAUUUAUUUUAAUUUUAAAGACAAAAUCGUAAAUGAAUCUCUUUUUUUUUUUUAAAAAAAAAACUCUAAUAAACCUGGAAGUUAUAUAUAACGAAAGCUGUCAUGAGUGUGAAAGGGGAAACUAUAAGAUUCAAAGUUGUAAAUUUUAGAAACAAAAAAAAAAAAAAGUUAGGCAAAUGUUCAAUAAUGAUUUAUGAAUGAAAUAUUCAGAUUAUUAGUUUGAAUUGAUUGAUUUAAUUAGUGAAAUAAGGUGAUUCUAGAAUUAAUAAUAUCAUUUUCAUUAUUAUGAUUGGUGGUCUGCAAAUUAUUCACUCUGACAAUUAAAUUAUUUUGACAAAACUUACUAUUUUCCUCUAAAUCAUGUAUAUUCAUGAAUCUUGAUUUUGAUCCCAGUGGGGGAAAAUUUUCAUUUUAUGGCUAUGAAUUUGGAAGAGUUGAAGUUCAUCUUCAUCAAAGAGAUGACAAAGCUAUUACCUUGUCAUAUAGGAAGGUAGAGCAAUUUACCGUGAAGAAAUUUGUCAAAAUUUAACUCAAGUUAAUGGCUUAACAAUUGAAGUAAUGAAUGAUACAGAAGCAGAGACAAAUGAUGCAGAGGCAGAGACAAAUUUCAUGAUUGAAGUAGAAUGCUCAAGUUAGGUUUACGGAUUCAAAAAUUACACUAUCACAUUCAACUAUAGAACCAAAAGGGGGAAAGGGAAGAAAAACAAAAAGGCAGAAAAUAAGGAAUGAGAAAUUGAACCAAAAGGCAUAAGAUAUAGAAAUAGAAGGAAUACAAUAAGAGAUUCCAGCAAAAGAGAAAAACAGAUUUGCAAAGAACUAUUUGUUAUUAUAACGCAGGAAUGCUCAAAGCAAAUAUGGAGAAAAACGUUGAUUGAUUAAGAUAUAUAUAUAUAUAUCUUAAACAUUCAGCAUUAAAAGAAAAGAAGAUAUUGGUGAUUAUGUAUACAAAAAUUUCGGGGGGGUGGGGGGGGAGAAGAAGAAAAGAGAGCUUACCGAGCUCGAAAACUUGAAGAAUGGGAGGGAAACACUAAUAAGGGAUUUUGUUACGGAAAAUCCUAAUUUGUGAGAUUGAAAGAGAAGCUUUUAAUUUCGCACGAGCUUUAGAAUCGGGGUUGUGCCCUACAGAUAGCAAUAGAAGCAAUGAAGAAAUUAAAGAGAAAGAAAAAACAAAGCAAGCAUUAAAGAAAGAAAAAAUCAAAGAGAAAAAGGAACAGCCAUAUACCCAGUCAACGGAGAAAUUAGGUAAGGUGAUGAGAUUUUUACCAGUCAGCCCAAACGAGAAGCGAUCUUGCAGCGAGCAGAAGGCCGGAAAACAACGUUGAAGGGGUGAAAGAUCUAGGGAUUUGCAGGAGAGGAGAAAGACGGAAGGAGAGUCGGGGGCUGAGAUUUAGACUUAGAACAACAGACCACAAAAAAAAAAAAGAUGCCAUUUAAGUCAAACUGAUAUUGCAAUAUUUGCUGCGCUUAUAAAAAAACGUGACUAAUUGUAUAACUUUUG